RNAcentral lists this ribosomal RNA (253 nucleotides) under uncultured bacterium. RNAcentral describes it as "partial 16S ribosomal RNA". It matches the Rfam family "Bacterial small subunit ribosomal RNA", at positions 524 to 776 of the family's 1533-position model. The record is from RNAcentral.
UACGGAGGGUGCAAGCGUUAAUCGGAAUUACUGGGCGUAAAGCGAGUGUAGGCGGCUACGUCAGUCGGAUGUGAAAGCCCCGGGCUUAACCUGGGAAUGGCAUUCGAUACUGCGUGGCUAGAGUCUGAUAGAGGGAAGUGGAAUUCCGGGUGUAGCGGUGAAAUGCGUAGAUAUCCGGAGGAACACCAGUGGCGAAGGCGGCUUCCUGGAUCAAGACUGACGCUGAGGCUCGAAAGCGUGGGGAGCAAACAGG